RNAcentral lists this ribosomal RNA (690 nucleotides) under Triticum aestivum (bread wheat). RNAcentral describes it as "partial small subunit ribosomal RNA". The record is from RNAcentral. Lineage: Eukaryota; Viridiplantae; Streptophyta; Magnoliopsida; Poales; Poaceae.
AUGUAUGCAGACACGAUCUACGUACAGGCGUUCGAGGACCGUAUGGACCUGCUCCGGGUGGCGAUGGUGGGCGCCAGUGGGACGCCGUAUCAGGAUGGGCUCUUCUUCUUUGACCUGCAGAUGCCGCCGUCCUACCCGGACGUGCCACCGCAAGUCUACUACCACGCUUUCGGCUUCCGUCUGAACCCAAAUUUGUAUACCGACGGUACGGUGUGCCUAAGCCUGCUCAAUACCUUCAGCGGCGAGGGCACCGAGGUCUGGGUGCCAGGGACAUCAAGCCUCCUUCAGGUCGUCGUCUCCAUCCAGGCCCUCGUCCUCAAUAGCCAGCCCUUCUACAACGAGGCCGGCUAUGAGCACCUGAUCGACAGACCAGAGGGCCACCGCCAUGAGCUGCCCUAUAAUGAGAACGCCUUCUUGCUCACUCUCCGGACCAUGAUCCACCUGUUGCGCCGGCCGCCGCAGGGCUUCGAUGGGUUUGUCAUGGACCAUUUCCGCCGACGUGGGAGGUCCGUGCUCGAAACGUGCGAGGCGUACCUGCAGGGAUGCGUGGACGCCGGUCAUGGGAGCAUGGAGCUGCCGUGCUCGACCGGCUUUAGGACCGCGCUUGCAAAUGUCAUGCCCAAGCUCACGACAGCAUUCGCGCAGAUUGGCGCCCUAGGGUGCGACCACUGCACUACCACCAAGCAUUAA